RNAcentral lists this ribosomal RNA (551 nucleotides) under uncultured bacterium. Its description in RNAcentral is "bacterial SSU rRNA". It matches the Rfam family "Bacterial small subunit ribosomal RNA", at positions 777 to 1329 of the family's 1533-position model. The record is from RNAcentral.
AAUAGAUACCCAGGUAGUCCACGCCUAAACUACUGUCAACUAGUUGUCGGGAAGAAAUUCCUUGGUAACGGCAGCUAACGCGUGAAGUUGACCGCCUGGGGAGUACGGCCGCAAGGUUAAAACUCAAAGGAAUUGACGGGGACCCGCACAAGCGGUGGAUUAUGUGGAUUAAUUCGAUGCAACGCGAAAAACCUUACCUACCCUUGACAUGUACGGAAUUCCGCAGAGAUGUGGAAGUGCCCGAAAGGGAACCGUAACACAGGUGCUGCAUGGCUGUCGUCAGCUCGUGUCGUGAGAUGUUGGGUUAAGUCCCGCAACGAGCGCAACCCUUGCCAUUAGUUGCUACAUUCAGUUGGGCACUCUAAUGGGACCGCCGGUGACAAACCGGAGGAAGGUGGGGAUGACGUCAAGUCCUCAUGGCCCUUAUGGGUAGGGCUUCACACGUAAUACAAUGGUCGGUACAGAAGGCUGCCAACCCGCAAGGGGGAGCUAAUCCCAGAAAGCCGAUCGUAGUCCGGAUUGUAGUCUGCAACUCGACUGCAUGAAGCCGG